UACGAAGGGGGCUAGCGUUGCUCGGAAUUACUGGGCGUAAAGCGCACGUAGGCGGCUUUCUAAGUCGGGGGUGAAAUCCUGGAGCUCAACUCCAGAACUGCCUUCGAUACUGGAAAGCUCGAGUCCGGGAGAGGUGAGUGGAACUGCGAGUGUAGAGGUGAAAUUCGUAGAUAUUCGCAAGAACACCAGCGGCGAAGGCGG
This 201-nucleotide ribosomal RNA is filed under the name uncultured bacterium. RNAcentral describes it as "partial 16S ribosomal RNA". It matches the Rfam family "Bacterial small subunit ribosomal RNA", at positions 524 to 724 of the family's 1533-position model. The record is from RNAcentral.